Molecule: long non-coding RNA, 856 nt
Organism: Canis lupus familiaris (dog)
Lineage: Eukaryota; Metazoa; Chordata; Mammalia; Carnivora; Canidae
Exons: 3
Source: RefSeq, a predicted model, not a curated record
UUCUAUGGGCAUCACCUUCCCAUCCAAUGACUUCAGCUCUUGGUCUCAAUAUCCUCAAGAAAUAUCUAUCAUCAUGCUAGAGAAGAAAGUAUUUGUCUAUGUUAGCAUAUCUUGCUACUAACGAGCUCAGUUUGAUUGGUUCCCAAAGUUUUGGUUUUAACUCAAUUGUCAUUUCCUCCUGGAAGUUUCCCUGACCCCACAAAUUGGGGUUAGAUUCCCCUCCUACAUCUUCCUGUGAUACUCACUACUUCUGCUCAGCAGGCCUUAUCAGCUGUACUUGCCUACCUUCCUCCUGGACUGUGACGUUUCUGAGGGCAGGGAACACCAGGCUUUCUCUACAGCGAUUCUCAAACCUAUCAGAGUGCUUAGCCCAUGUGAGGCAUGCCAUCAAUAUUUGAGGAAUGAAAGAGUGAAUGAGAUGAACCUGGUGUUGCCGAGGCUGACUACAAGGAAAGAAGAGGAGGGGUGAGGAAAGAAAUGUGGGCUUUGCAGCAGCAGGACAAAUCUCAUCCCUGCUCCACUACCAGGCAACCCUCAGUCCCGUUAUCCUGUCUCUCUCGGGGCAAGUUUCCAUACCUGGGAAUCGAGGUAGAUAAAAACUAUUUCAUGGCACUCUGGAGGAGAAGUACACAGGAUUGCACAAGGCACAAUUGCAUAGUGUGCGGAUACUCCUGGUGGUUUGGAGCGGCCUCACCAGUGGUAAAGGUGGGUGACUGUACACUGAGGAAGAGUGUGACCCACAAGAGCAUGGGAUGUCACUUAUUAAAAUGGCCUCUUGGGUGGCUCAGUUGGUUAAGCAACUGUCAUUGAUCUCAGAUCAUGAUCUCAGUGGUCCUGUAACUCCACAAUAAAAAGU